This 446-nucleotide ribosomal RNA is filed under the name uncultured bacterium. RNAcentral's name for it is "bacterial SSU rRNA". It matches the Rfam family "Bacterial small subunit ribosomal RNA", at positions 329 to 792 of the family's 1533-position model. The record is from RNAcentral.
UGCCAGACUCCUACGGGAGGCAGCAGUGGGGAAUAUUGCACAAUGGGGGAAACCCUGAUGCAGCGACGCCGCAUGAGUGAAGAAGUAAUUCGUUAUGUAAAGCUCUAUCAGCAGGGAAGAAAAUGACGGUACCUGAGUAAGAAGCCCCGGCUAACUACGUGCCAGCAGCCGCGGUAAUACGUAGGGGGCAAGCGUUAUCCGGAUUUACUGGGUGUAAAGGGAGCGUAGACGGUAAGGCAAGUCAGAUGUGAAAGCCCGGGGCCCAACCCCGGGACUGCACUGGAAACUGCCGGGCUGGAGUGUCGGAGGGGCAGGCGGAAUUCCUAGUGUAGCGGUGAAAUGCGUAGAUAUUAGGAGGAACACCGGUGGCGAAGGCGGCCUGCUGGACGACGACUGACGCUGAGGCUCGAAAGCGUGGGGAGCAAACAGGAUUAGAUACCCCUGUA